Molecule: long non-coding RNA, 247 nt
Organism: Microtus oregoni (creeping vole)
Lineage: Eukaryota; Metazoa; Chordata; Mammalia; Rodentia; Cricetidae
Exons: 3
Source: RefSeq, a predicted model, not a curated record
AAGUUCGUGUUUGAGAAACCACGUGACUCCUCGGGUGCAUUUAAAAGGCUUGUGGCUCUCACCUGAAAGAGUGCAAUCGAAUAGAAACCUUGGAAUGAAUGUUUGAUGCAAUACAGAAAAAUUUACCCAUUGAAAAUUACUACGAAGAGGAGAUUCUUAACUAUUUACGAUUUAAAGAAAUAAAAGAUUGCAUAUCCCAUCAAAACUGAUAAAAAUCUAGCACAGCCAAGAGGAAUGCUUCAGCUGC